AGAGUUUGAUCCUGGCUCAGGACGAACGCUGGCGGCGUGCCUAACACAUGCAAGUCGAGCGGAGACAGUGAGUAGCUUGCUAUGAGCUGUUUUAGCGGCGGACGGGUGGGUAACGCGUGAGCAACCUUUCCCAGACAGGGGAAUAACACACCGAAAGGUGUACUAAUACCGCAUAAGACCACGGGAUCACAUGGUUCUGGGGUAAAAGAUUUAUCGGUUUGGGGUGGGCUCGCGUCCGAUUAGGUAGUUGGCGAGGUAACGG
This 262-nucleotide ribosomal RNA is filed under the name uncultured bacterium. Its description in RNAcentral is "partial 16S ribosomal RNA". It matches the Rfam family "Bacterial small subunit ribosomal RNA", at positions 8 to 263 of the family's 1533-position model. The record is from RNAcentral.